This 1912-nucleotide small RNA is filed under the name Pan troglodytes (chimpanzee). RNAcentral's name for it is "retained intron". Lineage: Eukaryota; Metazoa; Chordata; Mammalia; Primates; Hominidae. The record is from RNAcentral.
ACUUGCUGGUGAUGAAGGGCGCCCCCGAGCGCGUGCUGGAGCGCUGCAGCUCCAUCCUUAUCAAGGGCCAGGAGCUGCCGCUGGACGAGCAGUGGCGCGAGGCCUUCCAGACCGCCUACCUCAGCCUGGGAGGCCUGGGCGAACGCGUGCUCGGUGAUCAUGGUAACGGGUGACCACCCCAUCACCGCCAAGGCCAUUGCAGCCAGUGUGGGCAUCAUCUCGGAAGGCAGCGAGACAGUGGAGGACAUCGCUGCCCGCCUCCGUGUGCCCGUAGACCAGGUUAAUCGCAACGAUGCCCGUGCCUGUGUGAUCAAUGGCAUGCAGCUGAAGGACAUGGACCCAUCGGAACUGGUCGAGGCCCUGCGCACCCACCCCGAGAUGGUGUUUGCGCGCACCAGCCCCCAGCAGAAGCUGGUGAUCGUGGAGAGCUGCCAGCGGCUGGGUGCGAUUGUGGCCGUCACGGGGGAUGGUGUGAAUGACUCCCCAGCUCUGAAGAAGGCAGACAUCGGAGUAGCCAUGGGCAUCGCUGGCUCAGAUGCUGCCAAAAAUGCAGCUGACAUGAUCCUGCUGGAUGACAACUUUGCCUCCAUUGUGACAGGCGUGGAGCAGGGUCCGAGCCACGCCAGGGGGAGGGCAGGCAGUGUGGGCACAGGAGGGAGAGGGCUGUGAGGAGGCUGAGGUGCCCACCCUACCCCACAGGUCGACUGAUCUUCGACAACCUGAAGAAGUCUAUUGCCUACACAUUGACCAAGAACAUCCCAGAGCUGACACCCUACCUCAUCUACAUCACCGUCAGCGUGCCCCUGCCCCUCGGGUGCAUCACCAUCCUCUUCAUCGAACUCUGCACUGACAUUUUCCUUCCACUCCUGGCCAGUUCCCAUCUGUGUCCCUGGCAUAUGAAAAGGCCGAGAGUGACAUCAUGCACCUGCGUCCACGCAACCCAAAGCGUGACAGAUUGGUCAACGAGCCCCUGGCUGCCUACUCCUACUUCCAGAUUGGUGCCAUUCAGUCCUUUGCUGGCUUCACUGACUACUUCACGGCAAUGGCCCAGGAGGGCUGGUUCCCACUGCUGUGCGUGGGGCUGCGGGCGCAGUGGGAGGACCACCAUCUACAAGAUCUGCAGGACAGCUACGGCCAGGAGUGGACAUUCGGGCAGCGCCUGUACCAGCAGUACACCUGCUACACCGUGUUCUUCAUCAGCAUUGAGGUGUGCCAGAUCGCCGACGUCCUCAUCCGCAAGACGCGCCGCCUCUCUGCCUUCCAGCAAGGCUUCUUCAGGAAUAAGAUCCUGGUGAUCGCCAUCGUGUUCCAGGUCUGCAUCGGCUGCUUCCUGUGCUACUGCCCCGGCAUGCCCAACAUCUUCAACUUCAUGCCCAUUCGGUUCCAGUGGUGGCUGGUCCCCCUGCCCUACGGCAUCCUCAUCUUCGUCUAUGAUGAGAUCCGGAAGCUUGGAGUUCGCUGUUGCCCAGGGAGCUGGUGGGACCAGGAACUUUACUAUUAGAGGGACGACUGCCUUCAAGCAUCCCUGCAACUGCCACAGCAGGUGGGGGCAGGGCUCGUGGGACCCUUUGGACAGCCACCAAGAUAUCUGAGCAACCAAGAGUCCCAGCCCCACCAGUAUCUGCUUCUGCAGCCCACGGCACCCCAAACUUGGAGAGACCUGCCCACUCCCCUCCCCCAUUCCCAAGGUUCGCACCUCCUGGAGCAGCAGCGCCUGGGCAGUCCUCUGGGCUGGCCUCGGGAAAGCCCCCACCUGUGGUGGCGGUGGGGCUCUGACAGGGAAUACAGCUGGCCUCUUCUGGAGGGUGUUUCUGUCCUUAGGACUCCAGUCCAGGUUGGAGGGCUGCCUGAGGGCCCUUCGUUAAAGACACGCUUGUGUCCUGGGCGAUGGUAAUAAAACCAACUCAUGCUG